AAAAUGCUAUGAAUGAAUCAUGAAAUGUACAACGCAUGUCAGACUUCAGAGAUGCCACGGCAUCGAUGAGAAGAUACUUUGUAUUCUGAGCUAUUU
Lolium rigidum is the source of this 96-nucleotide small nucleolar RNA. RefSeq annotates it as small nucleolar RNA R64/Z200 family. The transcript has a single exon. The record is from RefSeq and is a predicted model, not a curated record. Lineage: Eukaryota; Viridiplantae; Streptophyta; Magnoliopsida; Poales; Poaceae.